Molecule: ribosomal RNA, 253 nt
Filed under: uncultured bacterium
Lineage: Bacteria
Description: partial 16S ribosomal RNA
Rfam family: Bacterial small subunit ribosomal RNA
Source: RNAcentral
UACAGAGGGUGCAAGCGUUAAUCGGAAUUACUGGGCGUAAAGCGCACGUAGGCGGUUUUUUAAGUCAGAUGUGAAAGCCCCGGGCUCAACCUGGGAAUUGCAUUUGAAACUGGGGAACUAGAGUGUGUGAGAGGGGGGUAGAAUUCCAAGUGUAGCGGUGAAAUGCGUAGAGAUUUGGAGGAAUACCAGUGGCGAAGGCGGCCCCCUGGCACAACACUGACGCUCAGGUGCGAAAGCGUGGAGAGCAAACAGG